GAUGAACGCUAGCUACAGGCUUAACACAUGCAAGUCGAGGGGCAGCACAGUGUAGCAAUACAUGGGUGGCGACCGGCGCACGGGUGCGUAACGCGUAUCCAACCUUCCCGUUACUCAGGGAUAGCCUUCCGAAAGGGAGAUUAAUACCUGAUGGUGUUUGAAUUCCGCAUGUUAUUCAAACUAAAGAUUUAUCGGUAACGGAUGGGGAUGCGUGACAUUAGGUAGAUGGCGGGGUAACGGCCCACCAUGCCUACGAUGUCUAGGGGUUCUGAGAGGAAGGUCCCCCACACUGGAACUGAGACACGGUCCAGACUCCUACGGGAGGCAGCAGUGAGGAAUAUUGGUCAAUGGUCGGAAGACUGAACCAGCCAAGUAGCGUGAAGGAUGAAGGUUCUAUGGAUUGUAAACUUCUUUUGUAUGAGGGUAAUAAGCUUUACGUGUAGAGUGAUGAGAGUACCUUACGAAUAAGCAUCGGCUAACUCCGUGCCAGCCAGCCG
RNAcentral lists this ribosomal RNA (497 nucleotides) under uncultured bacterium. Its description in RNAcentral is "bacterial SSU rRNA". It matches the Rfam family "Bacterial small subunit ribosomal RNA", at positions 28 to 517 of the family's 1533-position model. The record is from RNAcentral.